CUUGAACUUUAUAAGAGGUCCAGCCUGCCCAGUGACUCUGUUCAACGGCCGCGGUAUCCUAACCGUGCGAAGGUAGCGUAAUCACUUGUUCUUUAAAUGUGGACUAGUAUGAAUGGCACUACGAGGGUUAUACUGUCUCCUUUUUCUAAUCAGUGAAACUAAUUUUCCCGUGAAGAAGCGGGAAUACAAUUAUAAGACGAGAAGACCCUAUGGAGCUUUAAACAACCUAGCAAUUACUUCUAAAAUUAUAAAUUUCAGAAUACUCAUUCUUUAAGCAAUAUGUCUGCAAGUUUUUGGUUGGGGUGACCAUGGAGAAUAACACAACCUCCAUAUUGAAUGAAUUUUUAUUCUAAGCUAAGAAUUACUAAUUAAAGCAUCAACACACUGACAUUUAUUGACCCA
Molecule: ribosomal RNA, 402 nt
Filed under: Rhinella castaneotica (Para toad)
Lineage: Eukaryota; Metazoa; Chordata; Amphibia; Anura; Bufonidae
Description: partial 16S ribosomal RNA
Rfam family: Bacterial large subunit ribosomal RNA
Source: RNAcentral